GACGAACGCUGGCGGCGUGCUUAACACAUGCAAGUCGAACGGAAGGGCCCUGCUUUUGUGGGGUGCUCGCGUGGCGAACGGGUGAGUAACACGUGAGUAACCUGCCCUUGACUUUGGGAUAACUUCAGGCAACUGGGGCUAAUACCGGAUAGGAGCUCCUGCUGCAUGGCGGGGGUUGGAAAGUUUCGGCGGUUGGGGAUAGACUCGCGGCUUAUCAGCUUGUUGGUGGGGUAGUGGCUUAACAAAGCUUUCACGAGUCGCCGGCCUGAGAGGGUGACCGGCCACAUGAGAACUGGGAUAGGACGCAGACUCCUCUGGGAGACAGCAGUGGGAAAUAGUGCACAAGGGGCGGAGUCCUGAUGCAGCACCGCCGCGUCCGGGAUGACGGCCUUCGGGUUGUAAACCGCUUACGCCUGGGACGAAGCGUGAGUGACGGUAAUAGGUAAAGAAGCACCGGCUAACUACGGG
RNAcentral lists this ribosomal RNA (468 nucleotides) under uncultured bacterium. RNAcentral's name for it is "partial 16S ribosomal RNA". It matches the Rfam family "Bacterial small subunit ribosomal RNA", at positions 28 to 507 of the family's 1533-position model. The record is from RNAcentral.